AUGCACGAAAGCGUGGGGAGCAAACAGGAUUAGAUACCCUGGUAGUCCACCCCCUAAACGAUGUCAACUAGCUGUUGGGGCCUUCGGGCCUUGGUAGCGCAGCUAACGCGUGAAGUUGACCGCCUGGGGAGUACGGUCGCAAGAUUAAAACUCAAAGGAAUUGACUGGGACCCGCACAAGCGGUGGAUGAUGUGGAUUAAUUCGAUGCAACGCGAAAAACCUUACCUACCCAUGACAUGUCUGGAAUUCCGAAGAGAUUUGGAAGUGCUCGCAAGAGAACCGGAACACAGGUGCUGCAUGGCUGUCGUCAGCUCGUGUCGUGACAUGUUGGGUUAAGUCCCGCAACGAGCGCAACCCUUGUCAUUAGUUGCUACGAAAGGGCACUCUAAUGAGACUGCCGGUGACAAACCGGAGGAAGGUGGGGAUGACGUCAAGUCCUCAUGGCCCUUAUGGGUAGGGCUUCACACGUCAUACAAUGGUCGGGACAGAGGGUCGCCAUCCCGCGAGGGGGAGCCAAUCCCAGGAACCCGAUCGUAGUCCGGAUCGCAGUCUGCAACUCGACUGCGUGAAGUCGGAAUCGCUAGUAAUCGCGGAUCAGCAUGUCGCGGUGAAUACGUUCCCGGGUCUUGUACACACCGCACGUCACACCAUGGGAGUGGGUUUUACCAGAAGUAGUUAGCCUAACCGUAAGGGGGGCGAUUACCACGGUAGGAUUCAUGACU
RNAcentral lists this ribosomal RNA (722 nucleotides) under Alcaligenes sp. PH25. RNAcentral describes it as "bacterial SSU rRNA". It matches the Rfam family "Bacterial small subunit ribosomal RNA", at positions 749 to 1476 of the family's 1533-position model. The record is from RNAcentral. Lineage: Bacteria; Pseudomonadati; Pseudomonadota; Betaproteobacteria; Burkholderiales; Alcaligenaceae.